AAAUUCAACCAAGCGCGGGU
RNAcentral lists this small nuclear RNA (20 nucleotides) under Arabidopsis thaliana (thale cress). RNAcentral describes it as "snRNA_05014". Lineage: Eukaryota; Viridiplantae; Streptophyta; Magnoliopsida; Brassicales; Brassicaceae. The record is from RNAcentral.